GUAGUGUACACUUUGUUCUCAGCUUUAAAAUUUUAUUAUGUUUUUUGGUUUCAAAUCCCGUUUAAAGCGAGUGAGUUGCUAUUUUUGUGUUCUACGGUUAGGACAACUUCCAGGAUGACUGGGACAUACAGCAUGCAGAGAGGAAAUACGAAUACAAGCAACAUUUGAGUCGGAAACCCCGAAGGAAAGAGACGAUUUAGGAGACUGAUUUUUAGAGGUAGCGGCCUUGCAACGUGCUGAUCAUCCGUACAAGAAUCCAGCCAACCGUAAAAAAGAGUCAUAAUUUCAAAAUAAAUUCUGACAGGAAGAGACCAGAGGGCCUAAGCAGUUAAGGUAGAAGAAGAAUAAAAAGAAGUAGUUAACCUGCAGCUCAAACUGUUAGGAAUUAAAUAACAAACAUGAAGAGAUUCUUAAUGCAGCAAAGAAUCUGUAGGUAGUGAAUUUAACUAUAUUGUGAUGUUAAGACCCGUGGCUAAGCAGCGACUCUGUAAACAAUGGCCGUUGCCAGGCAAAGCACGCAACAAUAGAACAACAGGGUUAUGCAAACCGUUUCUAAGUAACGGAUCGGUAAACACGCCUUGUUGGAAACAGUGUUUUGUACUAUGUCCGUGCAAAGUCCUUAUAAAGAAGUAGUUGGUUGGCGAUCCAGUUCGACUUCCACCUUAGACCUGCGAGUCGUACUAGGCGAUGGGAAGGAAACCCAGUGCCUGAGGGUAUAACAAGGUCAUUUUGUUACAGGGGGAAAUAAAUACGGGGACCUUGCCCUCCGGUUUGUGAGAGUUCCGAACCUGGAACAGUAAAAUAUGGUCAUGAUUCCCACAUGAUUCGGAGCCGAGAAUGACCACGCUGCCGAGGGUCAGCAGCAAUCGUAAACGCCAGAUCCAUCCUUUCCUCAGAGAGGAUGUUACAUAAGGAUUAAAACUACAAGUGUUCAGUUGGAAAAAAUUACUAGUCGUUGGUCUCAAGGGGCUUAGGGCCAAGACGAACUGGCGCUAAACCGCCAGUCAUGAAGUAACCCUCACUCUCUGACGAUCCAGUUCAACUGAGUGAAGUGACGUGAAGUAGAGCUACUUGAAGCUGGUGAGCGAGAGAGUUCAUAUGCCAGGGCAUUUCUGUUGAAAGUCAGCCUGUGAAGAGAAGACUAGGAGGUUGGUGCGAAAUGGCCGCCAGCCUGGGACC
Long non-coding RNA from Cryptotermes secundus, 1179 nucleotides. RefSeq lists it as uncharacterized. The record is from RefSeq and is a predicted model, not a curated record. The transcript is spliced from 3 exons. Lineage: Eukaryota; Metazoa; Arthropoda; Insecta; Blattodea; Kalotermitidae.